AGACCCGAAACCCGGUGAUCUAGCCAUGGGCAGGUUGAAGGUUGGGUAACACUAACUGGAGGACCGAACCGACUAAUGUUGAAAAAUUAGCGGAUGACCUGUGGCUGGGGGUGAAAGGCCAAUCAAACCGGGAGAUAGCUGGUUCUCCCCGAAAGCUAUUUAGGUAGCGCCUCGUGAAUUCAUCUCCGGGGGUAGAGCACUGUUUCGGCUAGGGGGCCAUCCCGGCUUACCAACCCGAUGCAAACUGCGAAUACCGGAGAAUGUUAUCACGGGAGACACACGGCGGGUGCUAACGUCCGUCGUGAAGAGGGAAACAACCCAGACCGCCAGCUAAGGUCCCAAAGUCAUGGUUAAGUGGGAAACGAUGUGGGAAGGCCCAGACAGCCAGGAUGUUGGCUUAGAAGCAGCCAUCAUUUAAAGAAAGCGUAAUAGCUCACUGGUCGAGUCGGCCUGCGCGGAAGAUGUAACGGGGCUAAACCAUGCACCGAAGCUGCGGCAGCGAACGUAUCACCCAAGACAACUUUACGGAGUUGACGAUUGACGGAGCGAAGCGACGUCAAAGCGUUCAUUAAAGUCGAGUUGGCUUAGGGAUACGUUCGUUGGGUAGGGGAGCGUUCUGUAAGCCUGUGAAGGUGUGUCGUGAGGCAUGCUGGAGGUAUCAGAAGUGCGAAUGCUGACAUAAGUAACGAUAAAGCGGGUGAAAAGCCCGCUCGCCGGAAGACCAAGGGUUCCUGUCCAACGUUAAUCGGGGCAGGGUGAGUCGACCCCUAAGGCGAGGCCGAAAGGCGUAGUCGAUGGGAAACGGGUUAAUAUUCCCGUACUUGGUGUUACUGCGAAGGGGGGACGGAGAAGGCUAUGUUGGCCGGGCGACGGUUGUCCCGGUUUAAGCGUGUAGGUGUGUGUUCCAGGUAAAUCCGGUUCACUUUAACACUGAGGCGUGACGACGAGGCACUACGGUGCUGAAGCAACAAAUGCCCUGCUUCCAGGAAAAGCCUCUAAGCAUCAGGUAACAUCAAAUCGUACCCCAAACCGACACAGGUGGUCAGGUAGAGAAUACCAAGGCGCUUGAGAGAACUCGGGUGAAGGAACUAGGCAAAAUGGUGCCGUAACUUCGGGAGAAGGCACGCUGACACGUAGGUGAAGUGAUUUACUCAUGGAGCUGAAGUCAGUCGAAGAUACCAGCUGGCUGCAACUGUUUAUUAAAAACACAGCACUGUGCAAACACGAAAGUGGACGUAUACGGUGUGACGCCUGCCCGGUGCCGGAAGGUUAAUUGAUGGGGUCAGCGCAAGCGAAGCUCCUGAUCGAAGCCCCGGUAAACGGCGGCCGUAACUAUAACGGUCCUAAGGUAGCGAAAUUCCUUGUCGGGUAAGUUCCGACCUGCACGAAUGGCGUAAUGAUGGCCAGGCUGUCUCCACCCGAGACUCAGUGAAAUUGAACUCGCUGUGAAGAUGCAGUGUACCCGCGGCAAGACGGAAAGACCCCGUGAACCUUUACUAUAGCUUGACACUGAACAUUGAGCCUUGAUGUGUAGGAUAGGUGGGAGGCUUUGAAGUGUGGACGCCAGUCUGCAUGGAGCCGACCUUGAAAUACCACCCUUUAAUGUUUGAUGUUCUAACGUGGACCCGUAAUCCGGGUUGCGGACAGUGUCUGGUGGGUAGUUUGACUGGGGCGGUCUCCUCCUAAAGAGUAACGGAGGAGCACGAAGGUUGGCUAAUCCUGGUCGGACAUCAGGAGGUUAGUGCAAUGGCAUAAGCCAGCUUGACUGCGAGCGUGACGGCGCGAGCAGGUGCGAAAGCAGGUCAUAGUGAUCCGGUGGUUCUGAAUGGAAGGGCCAUCGCUCAACGGAUAAAAGGUACUCCGGGGAUAACAGGCUGAUACCGCCCAAGAGUUCAUAUCGACGGCGGUGUUUGGCACCUCGAUGUCGGCUCAUCACAUCCUGGGGCUGAAGUAGGUCCCAAGGGUAUGGCUGUUCGCCAUUUAAAGUGGUACGCGAGCUGGGUUUAGAACGUCGUGAGACAGUUCGGUCCCUAUCUGCCGUGGGCGCUGGAGAACUGAGGGGGGCUGCU
RNAcentral lists this ribosomal RNA (2069 nucleotides) under Salmonella enterica. RNAcentral's name for it is "partial 23S ribosomal RNA". It matches the Rfam family "Bacterial large subunit ribosomal RNA", at positions 711 to 2676 of the family's 2925-position model. The record is from RNAcentral. Lineage: Bacteria; Pseudomonadati; Pseudomonadota; Gammaproteobacteria; Enterobacterales; Enterobacteriaceae. RNAcentral also lists the same sequence under 1 other name.